Molecule: non-coding RNA, 485 nt
Organism: Dermatophagoides farinae (American house dust mite)
Lineage: Eukaryota; Metazoa; Arthropoda; Arachnida; Sarcoptiformes; Pyroglyphidae
Source: RefSeq, a predicted model, not a curated record
UGCUGAUCAAACAUUUUUUUUUCAUAUUCAAAUUUUUAAUUUUCAUAAAAUAAAAUGAAACUUAUCAUCAUUACAAUUGUUUUAAUUGCGACGCCAUUAUUGGCCCAAGAAUUAGCAACUACUGGCACAUCUUCGGACAACGAAGAUAAUAUGAAUUGUGGCUCGAAUGAAGAAUUUCUAACAUGUGGUUCUCCAUGCGUAGAUACUUGUUUCAAUAAAGAUUCAACAAGACCUUGUAUUCUGAUUUGUAAGUCCGGAUGUUAUUGCCAAAAGGAUUUGUACGUACCGGUAAAGGUGAGGCUGAAGGUGAUCUUGGACCAUGUGUUCCGAUUAGUGAAUGUGACAAAAUUAUCAACAAUUGAUACGUAACAUCAUCAUCAUCAUCAUCAUCAUUACCAUUUAUUCUGAAUGAACAAUGUGUUAAUUUAAAAAAAAAUUAAGUUGAAUUUUAUCGAUUAAAAACGUUGAGAAUUUGGAAAAUUAAA